CUUAAAAGAAGCUCCGAAGGGAACAGAAUUAUAAACGUUUUUCUCUGUCAGACAAACAUUGACAGAAAGUUUAAUCAUCAGAUUGUUAGUUUCUUGACUGAGAAUCUAGACAAGGAAGCUGCCAUCAUGUGUCCAUCUUGUGUCCAUCCACACCCCAGCCAAGCAGACAUGGGACUAAUGAGUGAAGACAUGGAGUGCUGCGUCUGCCUCCAGUCCUACUCACGCAGGGACAAGAUCCCUCGGAUGCUCCACUGCAAGCACACCUUCUGCGGGCAGUGUCUCCAGGCGAUAUCCAGGCUCCAGAGCGGCCUGAUGAUGGUAUGCUGCCCACUGUGUCGCUGGAUCACAUGUACCAGGGCCAGUCUCCCCGUCGCUGGAUCCCUGUGGAUAAACACCGACAUCUGGGACAGGAUAACAGAAAGAACAGAGGAGGAGGAGCAUGAGGAGGAAGCGGAGUUGAUGAGAGCGAAUAAACAAACACAGACCUCUACCCAGAAUGAAUGCUCAUCUUCUGGUCAUUGUGGCCUAAGGAUCAAACUAAAGAGUUUCUUGAGAAGAAGGCCCAAGGGAGGUAAACUAAGAAGAUGAAAAGAAGACACAGAGAACACAGCGUGAAGACCAAGAAAAGUCUUCUUGAAGACUAGAGAAGGGGAUGAUCAGAGAUCAAGAAUAGGCCAAACUUCAAGAUGCAGUCAAGGACUUUUUUUAUAACCUCCCAUGUUGGGUCACAAUAAUACCUUUUGUGAAGAAAUUAAUAAAUGUAAAUAAAUGUUUUAAGCAGGUGAUAAUGCCUUAGGCUUUACAAUCAAUCGAUUUGUAUUGUUUAUUUAUUUAUUUGCUAACAAUUUCAAACUGUGAACAAUUUAUUGAGUACAAUGACUGAUGUUGAAUUUGUACUGCACUGUGUGAUUUUACUAUGAUGUUUACCAGGUCAUGUGUUAACUGAAGUAGAAUUUGUUUAUAUUAAUGUUGUGCCUUUUUUUCAGGGAAUGAUUUAUACAUAACCUGUAUUUACU
This is a long non-coding RNA of Esox lucius (northern pike), 1016 nucleotides long. NCBI's taxonomy places the organism in Eukaryota, Metazoa, Chordata, Actinopteri, Esociformes, Esocidae. The record is from Ensembl.